This 1332-nucleotide ribosomal RNA is filed under the name metagenome. RNAcentral's name for it is "bacterial SSU rRNA". It matches the Rfam family "Bacterial small subunit ribosomal RNA". The record is from RNAcentral.
AGAGUUUGAUCCUGGCUCAGGAUGAACGCUGGCGGCGUGCUUAACACAUGCAAGUCGAACGAUCCUCCGGGAUAGUGGCGGACGGGUGAGUAACGCGUGGGAAUCUGCCCUCAGGAGGGGGAUAACGGCUGGAAACGGCCGCUAAUACCCCAUAUGCCGAGAGGUGAAAUGAAUUUCGCCUGAGGAUGAGCCCGCGUCUGAUUAGCUAGUUGGUGGGGUAAUGGCCUACCAAGGCAACGAUCAGUAGCUGGUCUGAGAGGAUGAUCAGCCACACUGGGACUGAGACACGGCCCAGACUCCUACGGGAGGCAGCAGUGGGGAAUUUUCCGCAAUGGGCGAAAGCCUGACGGAGCAACGCCGCGUGAGGGAUGAAGGCCUCUGGGCUGUAAACCUCUUUUCUCAAGGAAGAAGACCUGACGGUACUUGAGGAAUAAGCCACGGCUAAUUCCGUGCCAGCAGCCGCGGUAAUACGGGAGUGGCAAGCGUUAUCCGGAAUUAUUGGGCGUAAAGCGUCCGCAGGCGGCCUAGUAAGUCUGUUGUUAAAGCGUGGAGCUCAACUCCAUUUAAGCAAUGGAAACUACAAGGCUGGAGUGUGGUAGGGGCAGAGGGAAUUCCUGGUGUAGCGGUGAAAUGCGUAGAUAUCGGGAAGAACACCAGUGGCGAAGGCGCUCUGCUGGGCCAUAACUGACGCUCAUGGACGAAAGCCAGGGGAGCGAAAGGGAUUAGAUACCCCUGUAGUCCUGGCCGUAAACGAUGAACACUAGGUGUCGGGGGAAUCGACCCCCUCGGUGUCGUAGCCAACGCGUUAAGUGUUCCGCCUGGGGAGUACGCACGCAAGUGUGAAACUCAAAGGAAUUGACGGGGGCCCGCACAAGCGGUGGAGUAUGUGGUUUAAUUCGAUGCAACGCGAAGAACCUUACCAGGGUUUGACAUCCUGCGAACCCCUGAGAAAUCGGGGGGUGCCUUCGGGAGCGCAGAGACAGGUGGUGCAUGGCUGUCGUCAGCUCGUGUCGUGAGAUGUUGGGUUAAGUCCCGCAACGAGCGCAACCCACGUCUUUAGUUGCCAGCAUUCAGUUGGGCACUCUAGAGAGACCGCCGGUGAUAAACCGGAGGAAGGUGUGGAUGACGUCAAGUCAUCAUGCCCCUUACAUCCUGAGCUACACACGUACUACAAUGCUACGGACAAAGGGCAGCAAGCUCGCGAGAGUUAGCAAAUCCCAUAAACCGUGGCUCAGUUCAGAUCGUAGGCUGCAACUCGCCUACGUGAAGGAGGAAUCGCUAGUAAUCGCAGGUCAGCAUACUGCGGUGAAUACGUUCCCGGGCCUUGUACAC